RNAcentral lists this long non-coding RNA (562 nucleotides) under Notechis scutatus (mainland tiger snake). RNAcentral describes it as "lncRNA (ENSNSUG00000003414.1)". Lineage: Eukaryota; Metazoa; Chordata; Lepidosauria; Squamata; Elapidae. The record is from RNAcentral.
GAAGGCUGGACUAGAAGACCUUCCAGGGCCCUUCCAGCCUCCUCUCUCCUGAUGGAUUCGUUGUAAAAUGGGGAUUGUCCGAUGACUGCCCCCGGUUCGCCACCGUUACAGUCUAGUGUACGAUUUGAGCGGAAGAGGCUCCGUCGCACGUCGAGGACGACGACGUGGCGGCGUGGAUCCACUGGAAGAAACCCACCCAGAGGGCCGAGGGGGAGGGGGAAGGGCUGGGAAGUCCUCCCCCCUCCCGUUCCCCAAGGCUCACCUGUCUCUCGAUUUUUCUCCCAGGUACGUCUCGCCUGACCAAGCCAAAAGCCAGGCCGCUCCAAGUGCCCAGGCCUCCCCUGCAGAAGCCAAGAUGGCCGCCAAGACCCCCCAGGUCUUGGAGAAAGCCCCGGCACCGCCCGCCCAGCCGGUCAAGAAGGCCAGCACCGACCUCCUGGCGGACAUAGGGGGGGACCCCUUUGCGGCCCCACCCGCCAGGCCUGCUUUCUCUGCCUUUGGAGGCCCAGUAGCGGCUCACCCGGCCUUCUCCAGCUUCGAUGCCUUUGGGGCCGGCCCGGCA